UGCUCCAGCCCCGAACUAUCCUAUCAGCAGGCCACUGGGCAGGACCCUGCUACAGGAUGUGCCCCCAGGAGGACCACCCUCUGACCCACAGUCGGGACAUGUACACUUCUGACCGGUCCAGGUCUAGAGGACUUAAUGAUAGGUUGGCCCUUCUCAAAGGUGUUCCUGCUGUCCUCUCAACGUCUUGAUGUCCCUGCAGCUCCACUUUAUCACCACUAGAUGGCAGACUUCUCCCUGUUUCUGGUCCCUGUUAGAGGAUAAGAACAUGUUCCAGUCCAGACUGCAAGCUGCUGCUUUUUCCUCCACAUGUCGCAUUUCUGAUGUCCUGUAGAGUCGCUGAUCCACAGGUGAUCGAUCCACAGCUGUGUCCUGCAGGAGGAGCACCAGCUCAGACACUGGAUGGCAGCAGGAGGCUCUGUGUGUGUUUAAUGUGUAAUAAAAGUGUCUGUAACUGUCCUGUGAUGGAGCCCUGUCACGCUCGGUCCUUUUAUUUCAUUAUAUCUGUUUCAAUAAACGCGUCCCCGCU
This is a long non-coding RNA of Astatotilapia calliptera (eastern happy), 526 nucleotides long. The record is from Ensembl. Lineage: Eukaryota; Metazoa; Chordata; Actinopteri; Cichliformes; Cichlidae.